RNAcentral lists this ribosomal RNA (557 nucleotides) under uncultured bacterium. RNAcentral's name for it is "bacterial SSU rRNA". It matches the Rfam family "Bacterial small subunit ribosomal RNA", at positions 102 to 694 of the family's 1533-position model. The record is from RNAcentral.
ACGGGUGAGUAACGCGUGGGAAUCUACCCAUCUCUACGGAAUAACGCAUGGAAACGUGUGCUAAUACCGUAUACGUCCUUCGGGAGAAAGAUUUAUCGGAGAUGGAUGAGCCCGCGUUGGAUUAGCUAGUUGGUGGGGUAAAGGCCUACCAAGGCGACGAUCCAUAGCUGAUCUGAGAGGAUGAUCAGCCACACUGGGACUGAGACACGGCCCAGACUCCUACGGGAGGCAGCAGUGGGGAAUAUUGGACAAUGGGCGCAAGCCUGAUCCAGCCAUGCCGCGUGAGUGAUGAAGGCCCUAGGGUUGUAAAGCUCUUUCACCGGUGAAGAUAAUGACGGUAACCGGAGAAGAAGCCCCGGCUAACUUCGUGCCAGCAGCCGCGGUAAUACGAAGGGGGCUAGCGUUGUUCGGAUUUACUGGGCGUAAAGCGCACGUAGGCGGACUAUUAAGUCAGGGGUGAAAUCCCGGGGCUCAACCCCGGAACUGCCUUUGAUACUGGUAGUCUUGAGUUCGAGAGAGGUGAGUGGAAUUCCGAGUGUAGAGGUGAAAUUCGUAGA